Molecule: non-coding RNA, 1262 nt
Organism: Carica papaya (papaya)
Lineage: Eukaryota; Viridiplantae; Streptophyta; Magnoliopsida; Brassicales; Caricaceae
Source: RefSeq, a predicted model, not a curated record
CUUGGGUUACUACUUCUAUAUCGUGACCAGAAAUUUUACUGAAAUGUUCACUGUGCAGAUUGACGUAGAUAUUGGAUCAUCAUCUGUAGCAAGGAGAGUUAUGGGUCUUGUACUUGGAUAUGUUACAAGUCUAAUCGUUGAUCUUGCCAUUUUGAUAGAGGCAAAAGAGGAAGAAGAGUUGCCUGAGUAUAUUCUUGGGACCGUACGGCUAAACCGUUUAAGGAUUGACUCUGCUGUAUCAUUAGAGGCUUGAAGUUUUUAUCUAUAGCUCUUCAUCUAUCAACAUUUUUAAUCAUUUUGUCCUCUGCAGUGAACCUAUUCUUGUAAGUGAACUCCAAUUUUUUCCAUUGUUGUCUAUGGCAGUGCAGAUCAUCAGAGUUCAUGUAACAACUCAAUCUGUAAUUUAUUGUGAUGUGCCAAUAAGCACAUUUCCUAUAUCUGAAUCUUCAUUUUUAUGCUAACAUGCCUCAUACGCAGUUUUACUUACGAGAUUGCUUUUGAAUUUAUGUUUGGUCUGCAACUGCAGUGCUUGUCAUGAUUGAAUGAGUAAGACAUGAUUCCAGCAUUGAUCUGGUAUCUCUUGAAUGUAUCAUGGAAACCCAGAUCGUGUGAACAAUAAAGCAGGGAUAUUACACCGAGGUGGAAAGAAGGAAAUGAUGGUUAUUUUGAAUGUAUCAUGGAAACCUAGAUUGUGUGAAACAAUAAAGUAAGGAAAUUACCCUGAGGUGGAAGGAAGGAAAUUAUGGUUAUUUUAGAUUAGUUUAAUGUGCCAGUGAUGGCGUAAUUUAUAAGUAUGUGCUGACCCUACUGAAUAGUUUGUGAAGGUUCCAGGUAAUUAGAUUAACUUGAAUUAUUAUUCAGCUUGUGCAUCGUCUCAUUGGUAGAUCUUCUUGCUAGUUCAAAAAUGUUGUUAGUCUAGUUCUACUGUCGCUAGUAUAAGUUUGGCGUGGAAUUGCCUCCUGAGGUGACGAUUAAAUUGUUUUGCCUAAGUUUAUGCUUCAUCGACACCGACUGGUUCUGCUCUCUUCAGUUCUGCUGCUCAGAUAGAGACGCCAUGGCCCGGAGACAUGGUAGCAUUUGCCCCCUUUUCUGGGAGGCUAGCGAGUAAGUCUUAACUUGCAAAAAGUUUAGAAAAUAACAUCUUUUCGGCCGUUUUGCUUUCAAUUAAAACGACGGAUGGCGGUAAGUUAAUCUUUUUUCAUGAAUGCGUUUCAAUUUAUUGAUCAAGUUUAGCAUUCGAUUCUCGAUUUUACUGUACGAUG